This 874-nucleotide ribosomal RNA is filed under the name Ustilentyloma graminis. RNAcentral describes it as "LSU rRNA". It matches the Rfam family "Eukaryotic large subunit ribosomal RNA", at positions 74 to 965 of the family's 3401-position model. The record is from RNAcentral. Lineage: Eukaryota; Fungi; Basidiomycota; Microbotryomycetes; Microbotryales; Ustilentylomataceae.
AUUCCCCUAGUAGCGGCGAGCGAAGCGGGAAGAGCUCAAAUUUAUAAUCUGGCACCUUCGGUGUCCGAGUUGUAAUCUCUAGAAGUGUUUUCCGCGUUGGACCGCACACAAGUCUGUUGGAAUACAGCGGCAUAGUGGUGAAACCCCCGUAUAUGGUGCGGACGCCCAGCGCUUUGUGAUACACUUUCAAUGAGUCGAGUUGUUUGGGAAUGCAGCUCAAAUUGGGUGGUAAAUUCCAUCUAAAGCUAAAUAUUGGCGAGAGACCGAUAGCGAACAAGUACCGUGAGGGAAAGAUGAAAAGCACUUUGGAAAGAGAGUUAACAGUACGUGAAAUUGUUGGAAGGGAAACGCUUGAAGUCAGACUUGCUUGCCGGAGCUUGCUUCGGUUUGCAGGCCAGCAUCAGUUUUCCGGGGUGGAUAAUGACGGUUUGAAGGUAGCAGUCUCGGCUGUGUUAUAGCUUUCCGUUGGAUACAUCCUGGGGGACUGAGGAACGCAGCGUGCUUUUUGCGAAAGACUCGUCUUUUUCACGCUUAGGAUGCUGGUGGAAUGGCUUUAAACGACCCGUCUUGAAACACGGACCAAGGAGUCUAACAUGCUCGCGAGUAUUUGGGUGUCAAACCCGGAUGCGCAAUGAAAGUGAAUGUAGGUGGGAACCGCAAGGUGCACCAUCGACCGAUCUGGAUUUUUUAAGAUGGAUUUGAGUAAGAGCGCGUAUGUUGGGACCCGAAAGAUGGUGAACUAUGCCUGAAUAGGGCGAAGCCAGAGGAAACUCUGGUGGAGGCUCGUAGCGGUUCUGACGUGCAAAUCGAUCGUCAAAUUUGGGUAUAGGGGCGAAAGACUAAUCGAACCAUCUAGUAGCUGGUUCCUGCCGAU